Molecule: long non-coding RNA, 1052 nt
Filed under: Olea europaea subsp. europaea
Lineage: Eukaryota; Viridiplantae; Streptophyta; Magnoliopsida; Lamiales; Oleaceae
Source: RNAcentral
ACUCAUAUUAAUCUCAAUGAUGGAAGCUGUGCUGGGCUUGCCUUCUCUCAGUUAAGGCUGAUGUCACUUCAGUACCAUCCCGAAGCAUCCCCGGGACCUCAUGAUUCAGAUCCUGGUAUUUCUCAGAGUUAUCUCCUUUAAAACAAUUUUUUUAAUUUACUGAACUCUUGAUAUAUAGUGUGCUGCUAAUAAUCUGUUUCUAAGCAAAUUUUUUGAGUCUAUUGCUAAUAAAAUUGUUCUAUGGGCAGUAUUUGGGGAAUUCAUGCAACUUAUGAAGCUAGAAAAACAGAACGCAUGAAUGUAAUUCAUAACGUCGUUCAGAAGGUUGAGUGGUGGCAAAUUAUGACUCAUUGGUUGAGAUGAUGAUCAAGAAAAAAGUUGAAUACUCUAUGAUGAACUUCAGAGACCAGUCGGAAAUGUUGUAGUUGUGACUUUCUUUAUCUUACUGUGCUAAUCUUAUUGAUUUGCUUGAUCUGGUCUGGCUAAAUAAUUGCAUGGAAAAAAGUUGGUUGAAUUUGUCGUCGGUUCUAAUUGGGUGAAAUUGCCAAACCCAGGUUUCAUCCUUUGUAAUAUUCUAUAGUGCUAGGAUUUAUUUAUAUACACCACUAGCCUUUUGCUUUUACAAUGGUCAAUUAUUUUAGCAUUUCCAGCAGGCCUUGGUUGUGCUUAAUUUGCUUUAAACUGUUGUUCGAGUGAACACAAUACCUUAAUACACGAAAAUGUCCAAGUGCUCGAGCUCACCUAAGUCUAUCGGAGAUCUUGAAGUUCCAAUAAGCUAAGCUGGAUUGUUGGAACUCCGGGCCAUGGGGAACAGAGGACAUUUGUAGGUUUCAAUCCCUGGAAUAAAAUGGAGUGAGAUUCCAGUUGCAAAGAUUGGUAUACUUGCUAUAGGUUGCAGUGGGAAAAUUUGCAAAAUAGGCCCAGAAUAUGUAGAAAUGUCAUAAGUGGAAAUAUCACCACACACUACACAUUUAAAAAUAAUUCAUUUAUUACAUUUCUAUUUAUUUUUCACCAAAUAUACUGCAAUUUUUGUAGUACUUUUGAGAACUGGA